Molecule: small nuclear RNA, 97 nt
Organism: Dermacentor silvarum
Lineage: Eukaryota; Metazoa; Arthropoda; Arachnida; Ixodida; Ixodidae
Source: RefSeq, a predicted model, not a curated record
GUGUUGUAUAAAAGCAGAGAUGGUUAGCACUCCCCUUAAUACGAAAUGAUAAACUUGAGGGAGAAAUCGUGUUUAACACAAUUUUUCUAUGUUUUGU